This 338-nucleotide unclassified non-coding RNA is filed under the name soil metagenome. RNAcentral describes it as "partial contains 5.8S ribosomal RNA, internal transcribed spacer 2, and large subunit ribosomal RNA". The stretch from base 1 to 120 matches the Rfam family "5.8S ribosomal RNA", at positions 35 to 154 of the family's 154-position model. The record is from RNAcentral.
GAUGAAGAACGUAGCGAAAUGCGAUAAGUAGUGUGAAUUGCAGAAUUCAGUGAAUCAUCGAAUCUUUGAACGCACAUUGCGGCCCUUGGUAUUCCAUGGGGCAUGCCUGUUCGAGCGUCAUUUGUACCUUCAAGCUUUGCUUGGUGUUGGGUGUUUGUCCUCCCCUUUUGUGUUUGGACUCGCCUUAAAACAAUUGGCAGCCAGUGUUUUGGUAUAGAAGCGCAGAACAAGUAGCGAUUCUAGCUAAGUAACGCUGACAUCCAGAAGUCUUUUUUAACUUUUGACCUCGGAUCAGGUAGGGAUACCCGCUGAACUUAAGCAUAUCAAUAAGCGGAGGA